CGUGCUCCUCUUAAUUGUGUUGCAGUUGUUGAGUAAUUGGUUCAAAGUUCACGCGCACACAGGUCCACUAUAUAUCGCCGAAGCAAGAUUCACAAUCUACUGGUUGACUUUUAUUAAUCUACGUUCCGAUAUAAAUACAUAUCGGGAAGUACAUCGAGUCUCAAAAGUAAUUAAAUAUAAAAACAAGAAACCAGUUUCAAGGCCAUUUGUGUUCAUUUAAAUAUGGCACUUAGCAGUCUAGUAAGUAAUUAAUGUCAAUUACGCGUAAUUAAGUGUCAUUAUCAUAGCAAAGUAGAAUAUUAAAAAAAUCAUAGCAAAGUAAAAUAUUGAAUUUGACCUUAAACUUGUAGUUUCUGAUCCUUGUUCUUCCUUGACCUAUUUAACAUUGACACUAUACAUGUCAAUUAAGAAAAAGAAUGAUGUUGAAGCUUUAAUGCUUUUUUGACUACAAUAUUUCCUUUGAUUUUCCAUAAAUUCUUGAAAUAUAUCUAUAUAUAUCGAAGAGAGUUAUUCCGAAUUAUCUUGUAAAUUGCGGAACACAUUAUUCUCACUCAAUAGUAACAGUUACUUGCACAUUCAAUUUUUGUACUUAAAUAUUUUUUUUUAUGCAAUCAGUAGCAACGAAGAAUUGUUACUUUUUGUUUGAACUGAAUUAAAUUUAUUUCUUUAAAUUAUAAUAAAUCGAACAAGACGCGGUACGAAUCUUUCUCGACAGUACCUCAAGAUUUUAUUAUCAAAGAAAGGUCUUAUUUACAAAUUCGCAGCAUUAUAUUCAUUGCUUAACUUAUAUAAUUGAAUUAUCUUGUAAAACCGUACAAACGAGUGUACAAGAACGCAAAUUAUAAUAUUGAUAUGUAUACAAAAUGAUUGUUCUUUCCGUUGCAAAAUGGCAACAAGCAUGCAUCGAUAUACUCCUCGUAUUUCAAUUCGCAAAUUCAACAUUAAAAUACUGUUUGUAUUAAAAAUAUAUGCAAUUCAUAUCAUGAGAGACAUUUUUGUAAACACUAAAUAUUUCUCCACGUAUGUAUUACGAUUCGUCACGUAUUCAUCGCGUACAUAAGACGAUUCAUUCGAACCUUAUAAAAAAUAUACAAAUUCGAUGGGUCGUGAGUAUAAAAGGCACUUGUUGAAACAAAUACAUGUAAACCAUCAUUUGAUUUUGAAUUCCUCUUGAAAUUCUUAUUUAGGCAGUGUUUGCGUUGCACAAGCUGGUGUGUGAAAGAUUUUAAAAGUUCAUUUGGCCGGAGUGUCUGUUAAUUUCGUGCUUCCCAUUUCAACGCCACCGCUGUGGAGCACUAGCUCCUCCCUCGUGUAAAACAUCACGAUUUCCUCGACGUUCGAGAACGAUUUCUCAUUUACUUUCGCUGAUCCUAAUGCAUACCUAUUUGAAAAAUAUACAACACUUCAUUUUGUUCGAUUUCUUAUGAAUAGUUUAAACAAGUCCAGUGCUUAAGAAAGAUAUACGGACAUGGGAACGUUAGUGUGCAAAGUUUUCUUACCUAUUGUCAGGCCUUUUUCUGACUGGAACAUUAUACACUCUAUCCUUGUACCAGAGCACCAGAGCCAAGGGAUUGUUCACAUUUGUUGUAGACGGUCUCAAAAGGAAGUGUCCGUCUUGAGGGUUGCCAUUUAACGAAGCGAUAAAGCCAUUCAUUCGGAAAAUCCUCCAAUUAUUCGGAGCAGAGGUGCUCUGAGAAAUCAUGGAUCACGCCUGGAUGCGUAUGGGUAAUUGCUCAGCUCAUCACGAUUCGAAGGCGUGUCUCGCAAAGAUACUCCAUAGAGAAGAACCGUUAGACCGUGACAGAGGGUUUCAAGAUUUUACUUGGUCACGGGAACGAGUCCACGCUGUUCCAUCACGUUCAACGGUGAAAUGAGACAUAUCUGAUAUUCCGCUCUCUUACCAUAUCA
This is a long non-coding RNA of Frieseomelitta varia, 1908 nucleotides long. RefSeq lists it as uncharacterized. The transcript is spliced from 4 exons. Lineage: Eukaryota; Metazoa; Arthropoda; Insecta; Hymenoptera; Apidae. The record is from RefSeq and is a predicted model, not a curated record.